GAUGAACGCUGGCGGCGUGCCUAAUACAUGCAAGUAGAACGCUGAAGGAAGGAGCUUGCUCUUUCCGGAUGAGUUGCGAACGGGUGAGUAACGCGUAGGUAACCUGCCUGGUAGCGGGGGAUAACUAUUGGAAACGAUAGCUAAUACCGCAUAACAGUAGAUGUUGCAUGAUAUCUACUUAAAAGGUGCAAUUGCACCACUACCAGAUGGACCUGCGUUGUAUUAGCUAGUUGGUGAGGUAACGGCUCACCAAGGCGACGAUACAUAGCCGACCUGAGAGGGUGAUCGGCCACACUGGGACUGAGCCACGGCCCAGACUCCUACGGGAGGCAGCAGUAGGGAAUCUUCGGCAAUGGACGGAAGUCUGACCGAGCAACGCCGCGUGAGUGAAGAAGGUUUUCGGAUCGUAAAGCUCUGUUGUAAGAGAAGAACGAGUGUGAGAGUGGAAAGUUCACACUGUGACGGUAUCUUACCAGAAAGGGACGGCUAACUACGUG
Molecule: ribosomal RNA, 497 nt
Filed under: uncultured bacterium
Lineage: Bacteria
Description: partial 16S ribosomal RNA
Rfam family: Bacterial small subunit ribosomal RNA
Source: RNAcentral